RNAcentral lists this ribosomal RNA (772 nucleotides) under Staphylococcus haemolyticus. Its description in RNAcentral is "bacterial SSU rRNA". It matches the Rfam family "Bacterial small subunit ribosomal RNA", at positions 59 to 812 of the family's 1533-position model. The record is from RNAcentral. Lineage: Bacteria; Bacillati; Bacillota; Bacilli; Caryophanales; Staphylococcaceae.
AGGUCGAGCGGAACAGAUAAGGAGCUUGCUCCUUUGACGUUAGCGGCGGACGGGUGAGUAACACGUGGGUAACCUACCUAUAAGACUGGGAUAACUUCGGGAAACCGGAGCUAAUACCGGAUAAUAUUUCGAACCGCAUGGUUCGAUAGUGAAAGAUGGUUUUGCUAUCACUUAUAGAUGGACCCGCGCCGUAUUAGCUAGUUGGUAAGGUAACGGCUUACCAAGGCGACGAUACGUAGCCGACCUGAGAGGGUGAUCGGCCACACUGGAACUGAGACACGGUCCAGACUCCUACGGGAGGCAGCAGUAGGGAAUCUUCCGCAAUGGGCGAAAGCCUGACGGAGCAACGCCGCGUGAGUGAUGAAGGUCUUCGGAUCGUAAAACUCUGUUAUUAGGGAAGAACAUACGUGUAAGUAACUGUGCACGUCUUGACGGUACCUAAUCAGAAAGCCACGGCUAACUACGUGCCAGCAGCCGCGGUAAUACGUAGGUGGCAAGCGUUAUCCGGAAUUAUUGGGCGUAAAGCGCGCGUAGGCGGUUUUUUAAGUCUGAUGUGAAAGCCCACGGCUCAACCGUGGAGGGUCAUUGGAAACUGGAAAACUUGAGUGCAGAAGAGGAAAGUGGAAUUCCAUGUGUAGCGGUGAAAUGCGCAGAGAUAUGGAGGAACACCAGUGGCGAAGGCGACUUUCUGGUCUGUAACUGACGCUGAUGUGCGAAAGCGUGGGGGAUCAACAUGAUUAGAUACCCUGGGUAGUCCACGCCGUAACGAUGA